AAUGAACGCUGGCGGCGUGCUUAACACAUGCAAGUCGAACGAGAAAGGGAUUGCUUGCAGUCCCGAGUAGAGUGGCGCACGGGUGAGUAACACGUAGAUAAUCUGCCUUCAAGCCUGGAAUAACUAUUCGAAAGGGUAGCUAAUACCGGAUAAAGUCGGUUCACACAAGUGGAUUGAUGAAAGAUUGCCUCUUCUUGAAAGCAAUUGUUUGGAGAUGAGUUUGCGUACCAUUAGCUAGUUGGUGGGGUAAAGGCCUACCAAGGCGACGAUGGUUAGCUGGUCUGAGAGGACGAUCAGCCACACUGGGACUGAGACACGGCCCAGACUCCUACGGGAGGCAGCAGUGGGGAAUAUUGCGCAAUGGGGGAAACCCUGACGCAGCAACGCCGCGUGUGUGAAGAAGGCCU
RNAcentral lists this ribosomal RNA (407 nucleotides) under uncultured bacterium. Its description in RNAcentral is "bacterial SSU rRNA". It matches the Rfam family "Bacterial small subunit ribosomal RNA", at positions 29 to 417 of the family's 1533-position model. The record is from RNAcentral.